RNAcentral lists this ribosomal RNA (460 nucleotides) under uncultured bacterium. Its description in RNAcentral is "partial 16S ribosomal RNA". It matches the Rfam family "Bacterial small subunit ribosomal RNA", at positions 338 to 795 of the family's 1533-position model. The record is from RNAcentral.
CCUACGGGAGGCAGCAGUGAGGAAUAUUGGUCAAUGGGCGAGAGCCUGAACCAGCCAAGCCGCGUGAAGGAUGACUGCCCUAUGGGUUGUAAACUUCUUUUAUAUGGGAAUAAAAUGUUCCACGUGUGGGAUUUUGUAUGUACCAUAAGAAUAAGGAUCGGCUAACUCCGUGCCAGCAGCCGCGGUAAUACGGAGGAUCCGAGCGUUAUCCGGAUUUAUUGGGUUUAAAGGGGGCGUAGGUGGAUUGUUAAGUCAGUUGUGAAAGUUUGGGGCUCAACCGCAAGAUUGCAGUUGAAACUGGCAGACUUGAGUACAGUAGAGGUGGGCGGAAUUCGUGGUGUAGCGGUGAAAUGCUUAGAUAUCACGAAGAACUCCGAUUGCGAAGGCAGUUCACUGGACUGCAACUGACACUGAGGCUCGAAAGUGUGGGUAUCAAACAGGAUUAGAUACCCGGGUAGUC